RNAcentral lists this long non-coding RNA (360 nucleotides) under Macaca mulatta (Rhesus monkey). Its description in RNAcentral is "lncRNA (ENSMMUG00000058675.1)". Lineage: Eukaryota; Metazoa; Chordata; Mammalia; Primates; Cercopithecidae. The record is from RNAcentral.
GUGGCAGGCCUCUGAAUUGAUUCCUGGAUAUUUGUAAUUCUUAAGUUAUUUUACCAAUGUGACAUCAUAUCAAUCAUUCAUACAAUUUAAUUUUUCUUCUAAUUUAUGUCUUUGUUUUGCUGCAUUUGACUGGUCAAAUUACAGAUUUUGUUUCAGAGAUCCUUGACUUCAUCAUGCGUACAUAAUGAGGAGACCAAAGAAGAAGUAUCAUGGUGAGGUAUUGUCUACCUGAUUAAUUUUCCUAGGAUCCUGGUGGUCAAGACACACAAACAAGGUAACUCUGGCCAGGCGUGGUGGCUCACGCCUAUAAUUCCAGCACUUUGGGAAGCCGAGACAGGUGGAGCACCUGAGGUCACGAGU